RNAcentral lists this ribosomal RNA (407 nucleotides) under uncultured bacterium. Its description in RNAcentral is "partial 16S ribosomal RNA". It matches the Rfam family "Bacterial small subunit ribosomal RNA", at positions 30 to 526 of the family's 1533-position model. The record is from RNAcentral.
AUUGAACGCUGGCGGCAGGCCUAACACAUGCAAGUCGAGCGGAGCGGCGGACGGGUGAGUAAUGCCUAGGAAUCUGCCUGGUAGUGGGGGAUAACGUCCGGAAACGGGCGCUAAUACCGCAUACUAUCAGAUGAGCCUAGGUCGGAUUAGCUAGUUGGUGGGGUAAAGGCCUACCAAGCCGACGAUCUCUAGCUGGUCUGAGAGGAUGACCAGCCAAACGGUGAUGGAGUGACGGCCCAGACUCCUACGGGAGGCAGCAGUGGGGAAUCUUCCGCAAUGGACGAAAGUCUGACGGAGCAACGCCGCGUGAGUGAUGACGGCCUUCGGGUUGUAAAGCUCUGUUAAUCGGGACGCGGUACCGGAAUAGAAAGCCACGGCUAACUACGUGCCAGCAGCCGCGGUAAUAC